GCUACUCAAAUAAAGCAUAUGGUGGAUGCCUUGGCAUAAUGUGCCGAAGAAGGACGUAAUAAGCCGCGAUAGUCGUCGGUGAGGAGCUAAUAUCCUUUGACCCGGCGGUGUCCGAAUGGGGUAACCCCGGUUCGUGUAAACGGACUGGACCGAGAGAUUUAUCUUUCGGUCGGUAACCCGGAGAACUGAAACAUCUAAGUACCCGGAGGAAAAGAAAUCGAAUGAGAUUUCCUUAGUAGCGGUGAGCGAAAAGGAAAUAGCCUAAACCCAUAUUUAUAUGGGUGUUGCAGGACCAGAUAUAUGAUGUUGUUUCGAUAGAAGAACACCGUGGAAUAGGUGGCCAUAGAGAGUGACAGCCUCGUAAUCGAAAUUGAAGCAACAUUAAUUUGGCACCUAAGUACGUUGGGAGACGGCAAACUCCCUGCGGAAUCCGCCCCGACCACGGGGCAAGGCUAAAUACACAUUAUGACCGAUAGUGAACGAGUACCGUGAGGGAAAGGUGAAAAGAUGGGUGAGACACCCAGUGAAAUAGUACCUGAAACCGUAUGCUAACAAACAGACAGAGCUUCGAUUUAUCGGAGUAAUGUCGUGCCUAUUGAAGAAUGACCCGUCGAGUUUGCAUGUACUGCUAGUCUAAGUGAUAUCGUCACGGAGGCGUAGUGAAAGCGAGGAUGAAUAGUCCGUUUAGCAGUGCGUCCAAGACCCGAAACCGGUGUGAGCUAACCAUGAGCAGGGUGAACUGUGAGUAAAAUCACAGGAAGGCCCGAACCAGUAACUGCUGCAAAAGUUUUGGAUGACUUGUGGUUAGGGGUAAUAUGCCAAUCGAACCCGGAGAUAGCUGGUUCUCCCCGAAAUAUAUUUAGGUAUAGCCUUGAGUAAUUGCAUGCGUGGGGGUAGAGCACUGAAAAGGUAUAGUGAAGCAAUUCAUUGUACUUUAUCAAACUCCGAAUACCAUGUAUGUUUAUCUCAGGAGUCAGUCCUUGGGAGCUAAGUUCCAGGGGCAAAAGGGAAACAACCCAGAUCGUCAAUUAAGGUCUCAAAAUCAUAGCUAAGUGGCUCAAGGAAGUCAUAAUCCAUAUACAGCUAGGAGGUCGGCUCAGAAGCAGCCAUCCUUGAAAGAAAGCGUAACAGCUCACUAGUCUCGGAUUGUGGCGCCGAAGAUCCAACGAGGCUCAAGCUAUGUACCGAAAUUACGGAUUGUCACACAUUUAUGUGUGAUUCUGGUAGGGGAGCGUUCUAACAGCAGUGAAGUCGUUUUGUAAGAAACGGUGGAGCGGUUAGAAGUGAGAAUGGCGGGAUGAGUAGCGAGAUGGAGGUGAGAAUCCUCCACACCGUAUGUUCCAGGUUUCCCACGCAACGUUCGUCGGCGUGGGGUUAGGCGGCCCUAAGGUGAGGCUGGUGUAAUGCCGGCGUAGCCGAUGGAUUACCGGUUGAUAUUCCGGUUCUCUAGGGCGUUCGUUAUCAGCUUGGGGAGGGACGGUUUAGGAAGAGCGGGGCGCAUUACAUGAAUUUGCGUCCAAUCGCUGAGGCAGUUGGCUAUAGGAAAAUCCGUAGCCGGCGUUACAACCCGAGGUGUUAUGGGGAAUGUGGACCUUGUGUCCGCGUGACUCCGCAACCUUUCUGAAUCCAAGAAAAUCUUCAUGAGCGAGAAUGUUUUAGAUCCGUACCGCAAACCGACACAGGUGAACUGGUAGAGUAUACCAAGGUGAGCGAGAGAACCUUCCUUAAGGAACUCGGCAAAUUAGCUAGGCGUAACUUAGGGAGAUGCCUAACCUGUUUUUUUGGUACUUGUAUCAAAAAAAUGGGUCGCAGAUAAAGACUAUGAGGUGACUGUUUAACAAAAACACAGGUCUGUGCGAAGACGUAAGUCAACGUAUACGGGCUGAGGCCUGCCCAGUGCCAGAAGGUUAACUGAGAGGGUAACCCCGACUUGUUCGGGAUAGCCUUUGAUUGAAGCCCUGGUGAACGGCAGCAGUAACUAUAACUGUUCUAUGGUUAAGGAUAUACAAAUCGUUGCCAUAGUGAGGUAGUCAAGGAUUGUCGGUUUUGUAGAUGGUGAAGGUUGUUUCUCUGUGAGUACGUUCAAAAACGAUACGUGCUCAAGUGGUUAUCAAACUCUUUUUGAGUUUGUCAUCACUCAGGGAGAAAAGAGCCGUUCCUCACUCGAACAAAUCGAAAGAUUUUUUCAGUGCGGGCACAUUUACAUUAAUCAUCGACAUGAUAAUCACCAUGAAAAUAUAUUGCGAUAUUGUGUGAGGCGGCAAACUGAUCUUAAAAAGAUCAUAAUUCCGUUUUUUACUAAAUAUCAGCUUUAUACAACUAAACGUCAGCAAUUUGAAAAUUUCUGUCGCAAGUUGAACGAAAGAGUAUCCCCAGAGACUAUACGCAAAGCAUCGCGAAAGCGUAAAGAUAUAGUCCGAUCUCAUGAGCGAUCAUGAGUCAACAAUUUAGAGCGAAAUUCCUUGUCGGGCAAGUUCCGACCUGCACGAAUGGCGUAACAAUCUCAUGACUGUCUUGAGGAGGGACUCGGCGAAAUUGAAAUGGCUGUGAAGAUGCGGCCUACUGGUAACAGGACAAAAAGACCCCGUGGAGCUUUACUGUACCUUGACACUGAAAUUUAUGUUUUGACUGUGUAGCGUAGGUGGGAGGCGCAAGCCGAUCAUGUAACACCACUCUUUGAAACGUGAGUUUCUCACUUAUCUUGCUCAAUCGCGAGAGAGGACACUGUCUGGGGGGCAGUUUAACUGGGGAGGUUGCUUGCUAAAGAGU
RNAcentral lists this ribosomal RNA (2769 nucleotides) under Microgenomates group bacterium GW2011_GWF1_46_12. RNAcentral's name for it is "bacterial LSU rRNA". It matches the Rfam family "Bacterial large subunit ribosomal RNA", at positions 1 to 2298 of the family's 2925-position model. The record is from RNAcentral.